GGGAGAGCAGGGCAGGGUUUCC
RNAcentral lists this microRNA (22 nucleotides) under Mus musculus (house mouse). RNAcentral describes it as "Mmu-Mir-504-v1_3p* (star (passenger))". Lineage: Eukaryota; Metazoa; Chordata; Mammalia; Rodentia; Muridae. The record is from RNAcentral.